GCGCCCCUAGCUCAGCUGGAUAGAGCGACGGCCUCCGGAGCCGUAGGUCAGUGGUUCGAAUCCACUGGGGCGCACCA
This 77-nucleotide transfer RNA is filed under the name Myxococcales bacterium. RNAcentral's name for it is "tRNA-Arg". It matches the Rfam family "tRNA". From Rfam's summary of the family: Transfer RNA (tRNA) molecules are approximately 80 nucleotides in length. Their secondary structure includes four short double-helical elements and three loops (D, anti-codon, and T loops). Further hydrogen bonds mediate the characteristic L-shaped molecular structure. tRNAs have two regions of fundamental functional importance: the anti-codon, which is responsible for specific mRNA codon recognition, and the 3' end, to which the tRNAs corresponding amino acid is attached (by aminoacyl-tRNA synthetases). tRNAs cope with the degeneracy of the genetic code in two manners: having more than one tRNA (with a specific anti-codon) for a particular amino acid; and 'wobble' base-pairing, i.e. permitting non-standard base-pairing at the 3rd anti-codon position. The record is from RNAcentral. Lineage: Bacteria; Pseudomonadati; Myxococcota; Myxococcia; Myxococcales.